CGUGUGCAAUGUUGUAAUAGAGGUACAAGCAACACAGGGAUAGGGAGAAGGUGAUCCACAUUGCAGGGGCCUAAUUACAGGGGGCCCUGAAUGCCAAGCCAAGACUUGGAAAAUUAGAAGGUCUACAAGGACUCCAGAACUCUCCAGGAGUGAUGAAAGAUGGUGUCUUAGCCUGGGUUUCUGCAACAAGCAGAGCCUAGCACAACAUGGUGGUUUACUUUGAAAAGUGAUCCCAAGAAACAGGAGUGAGAGGCUCGGAAGAGUCAAACGGAAAGAGGACAAGCCAACCAAGGCUGUGCCUGGGUGCAUCACGAUUCACCUAAAAAUCACCACUGAAAUCCGCAGCAGGCAAUUGUGCCAGACAACAGGUGAUGACGGGGGCAAACACGACUCAGCUUCUGCCUGCAGCAUCUACAGUCAUGGAAGGAGACCUCCGUGAAAGUGUGGUGUUUGCUGUGAGAGGGAGCAGACGCUCACUGCCAUAGAUCUCAGAGACCACCAAGGCUGAAUAAGCUGAACAACGCAUGCGGAAAGUCCACAGGCCUGCACACCAAUGGCCACAGCCUGUUCUCUCCCUGCAGGUAGGACACUCAUGCGGUACCACCCUUCCUGAGGACACCUUCCUUCCAUUGCCUGGACAGCAGCAUCCUGCCCUGGGCCACCCUCCAUGUGGAUGCCCUUCCCACUUCCCCAGGGCACUGACUCCAAGCGCAAGGUGCCCUUGCAAUAGACACUCUCCUCACCCCUCUAGUUCUGCCAUCCUGCCCUGGGCCACCUUCUGUGUAGACCCCUCCUCACCCCACUGAGGGUCUGAGUCUCCGUGCCAGGACAUCCUCCCUGGACAGGACCCCCUUCGGACCCUGCUUUGGUCUCCGACACAUGCUGGGCUGCCCCCUCCUAUGUUGGCACCCUCCUCGCUCCACAUGGGCAACCUCACACUGGACCACCGCCCUUGUGUGAGCCUCUAUCUCACCCCGGUGGACUCCACCCUCCUGCUCUGGGCACGCUACUUCCUCCCCACUCAGCUACAGAGGCCUGCCUUGCUCUACCUUACCUAAUGGCUUCUGAACAGAAUUUUCUAGAAGGGAGAGGAAGAAGCAUCGAGCUGGUUCUCUUGGCCUGUUCCUGGAUCCCAUCCUUCUCCUUUGUUCCCGGCUCCUCCAUUCUCUAGGAAUCUCAAUCUCUUCCGGCAUUGCUGAGUUCUCAAGGUAGGUGAGGUUUUUGCUGGCUUCCUGCAGGGCUUCCUCUGUCUCCUACCCCAUUCCUGCACCAUCUCUGAUGGCCUGGAGCUCUCCAAGGGCCAAAGCCAUGUGGGUUCUGCGGGAAACUCUGGAAGAAUGCCUCUGCUCAACAUCUUACUUCGUCACAGUUGGCCAGAGAAUUCCCCAAUCAGUGUGCUGCCUGGGCUCCAUGUUUCACGGAGUUUGGAGUCAAACAGCUUUUACAGGAUGCCUGUAGCAGCUCUGCUCUCACCCUCCUCCUUCCCUCCACAAUCUGGAUUGGGAGACAAACCUGACUGGCAGACAGCGCCAUGCAUGUGGGAUUUCCUCCCAUAUCCCAGCUUAGGCCUUGCACUGACCAAUUCAAGCUUAUAGUGCCCUCAUUCCUGUCCUCUUAAAAUAAUUAAUCUCCCUGGCUCUCAUACAAACAAACUUCUGGUUGCCCACCACCACCCAUUCUAGACCUUUUAAAAGCCCAAUUGUGGGCACAGCUUGGGCUUACGAGGGACGUCCUUCAACUAUCUGGCUGAGCAUGCUUCUCUUACACUGUUCUCCCUCCCCUCAGUGUGCCCUGUGUGCCAAAGCAGCGUCCAUGUUUUGUUACCCACCCGUUGACUAAGACCUCUGUGAUACCGAGGCCUGAGGAGCUGCGAGCCCCCAUGGCAGAGGCAGGCAAAGGCCCAUCUGCUAAAACUCAGGUCCACGUGCAACCUCAAAAGCACCCUGGAACACCUUUUCCUUCCAUCUCUCUUAGGUUUUAGCCAGCCAGGAGGAAAUUAGAAUUUUUUUUCCCAUUUUAUGAUGAGUUAUGGAAGAAUUAGGUAAAGGAACAUUUAAGCUCCCUACUGCUGGGAAACUUGUCUAUGGUGAGAGAUUUAUCAGACCUGGGUGUGUCACCAGGGGAGGCUAGGAAACCUCAUUACUGAAUAUAGAGCCCCAGACCAGGUCUUGGAGACUCUAUCAUUGAUCCAGAUAACCCAACUCUGCUUUUUCACUUGCCAUCCUUUUAAAUUCCCAAAUCCUAACUCAAAUGCAUAGGCUGUCUUUCAAAGAGCAAUGACAAGAGAAAGGCAUGCACGCUGCGUAUGAGAGGGGAGGGGAGGUUCCUGCGGCAGAAGAAGCAAGGUGAGGCACAAGUAACACUGACCGAAAUAGAAAGAGCAUGACUCAGCUGGGCGUGGUGGCUCGCACCUGGAAUCCCAGCACCAUGGGAGGCCAAGGCGGGCAGAUCA
This 2452-nucleotide long non-coding RNA is filed under the name Homo sapiens (human). RNAcentral's name for it is "HSALNT0317188". Lineage: Eukaryota; Metazoa; Chordata; Mammalia; Primates; Hominidae. The record is from RNAcentral.